This is a small RNA of Bacilli bacterium VT-13-104, 149 nucleotides long. It matches the Rfam family "Listeria sRNA rli38". The record is from Rfam. NCBI's taxonomy places the organism in Bacteria, Bacillati, Bacillota, Bacilli.
AUUGAGUGGGAGUAAAAAGCUAACUUGAUUUGAAGAGAGAACGCCUAUUUAACAGUGUUUAUCUUAAUCUUAAAUUGACAAAUUGGUAUAAAAUAAUAUAGUUCCCUGCCAAAAUCCCUGCCAAAAAUAAUUUGGUAGGGAUAUUUUUU